CAGCGAUUUGUCUUCUUGUCUCAAUAAGUGUAAGAAGUGGGUAGAGGAUGGAAAGGGAGAAGAAAGGAUUAAAGUUAAGCCUGAAUGUUUCAUUCUCCACCUUAACAUGACCGCAUCUACUAAUAGCCAAUAAAAUGAAUUGGCCUCUCUACUGGGCUGCUUGACCUUCCUCAUGACAUGGCAGUUGGUUUUUCCCAGAGCAGAUAAGUCAAGAAAUCAA
RNAcentral lists this long non-coding RNA (220 nucleotides) under Homo sapiens (human). RNAcentral's name for it is "HSALNT0366986". Lineage: Eukaryota; Metazoa; Chordata; Mammalia; Primates; Hominidae. The record is from RNAcentral.